This 370-nucleotide ribosomal RNA is filed under the name uncultured organism. Its description in RNAcentral is "partial 16S ribosomal RNA". It matches the Rfam family "Bacterial small subunit ribosomal RNA", at positions 527 to 896 of the family's 1533-position model. The record is from RNAcentral.
GAAGGGGGCUAGCGUUGCUCGGAAUCACUGGGCGUAAAGGGCGCGUAGGCGGCCGAUUAAGUCGGGGGUGAAAGCCUGUGGCUCAACCACAGAAUUGCCUUCGAUACUGGUUGGCUUGAGACCGGAAGAGGACAGCGGAACUGCGAGUGUAGAGGUGAAAUUCGUAGAUAUUCGCAAGAACACCAGUGGCGAAGGCGGCUGUCUGGUCCGGUUCUGACGCUGAGGCGCGAAAGCGUGGGGAGCAAACAGGAUUAGAUGCCCUGGUAGUCCACGCCGUAAACGAUGAAUGCCCAGCCGUUGGCCUGCUUGCAGGUCAGUGGCGCCGCUAACGCAUUAAGCAUUCCGCCUGGGGAGUACGGUCGCAAGAUUA